AACAGGAUUAGAUACCCUGGUAGUCCACGCCGUAAACGAUGUCGACUUGGAGGUUGUGCCCUUGAGGCGUGGCUUCCGGAGCUAACGCGUUAAGUCGACCGCCUGGGGAGUACGGCCGCAAGGUUAAAACUCAAAUGAAUUGACGGGGGCCCGCACAAGCGGUGGAGCAUGUGGUUUAAUUCGAUGCAACGCGAAGAACCUUACCUACUCUUGACAUCCAGAGAACUUUCCAGAGAUGGAUUGGUGCCUUCGGGAACUCUGAGACAGGUGCUGCAUGGCUGUCGUCAGCUCGUGUUGUGAAAUGUUGGGUUAAGUCCCGCAACGAGCGCAACCCUUAUCCUUUGUUGCCAGCGGUUAGGCCGGGAACUCAAAGGAGACUGCCAGUGAUAAACUGGAGGAAGGUGGGGAUGAC
Molecule: ribosomal RNA, 412 nt
Filed under: Enterobacter asburiae
Lineage: Bacteria; Pseudomonadati; Pseudomonadota; Gammaproteobacteria; Enterobacterales; Enterobacteriaceae
Description: bacterial SSU rRNA
Rfam family: Bacterial small subunit ribosomal RNA
Source: RNAcentral